ACGCUGGCGGCGUGCCUAAUACAUGCAAAGUCGAACGGUCUUUCUAUGGAAGCUUGCUUCCACUGAGAAGAUAGUGGCGAACGGGUGAGUAAACACGUGGGUAACCUGCCCCAUAAGAGGGGGGAUAACAUCCGGAAACGGGGUGCUAAUACCGCAUAGUUUUCUUGAUUGCAUGAUUGAGAAAGGAAAGACGGCCUUUGUGCUGUCGCUUAUGGAUGGACCCGCGGCGUAUUAGCUAGUUGGUGAGGUAACGGCUCACCAAGACGAUGAUACGUAGCCGACCUGAGAGGGUGAUCGGCCACAUUGGGACUGAGACACGGCCCAAACUCCUACGGGAGGCAGCAGUAGGGAAUCUUCCGCAAUGGACGAAAGUCUGACGGAGCAACGCCGCGUGAGUGAAGAAAGGUUUUCGGAUCGUAAAACUCUGUUGUCAGAGAAGAACAAGUUGGAGAGUAACUGCUCCAGCCUUGACGGUAUCUGACCAGAAAGCCACGGCUAACUACGUGCCAGCAGCCGC
RNAcentral lists this ribosomal RNA (517 nucleotides) under uncultured bacterium. Its description in RNAcentral is "bacterial SSU rRNA". It matches the Rfam family "Bacterial small subunit ribosomal RNA", at positions 33 to 518 of the family's 1533-position model. The record is from RNAcentral.